This 153-nucleotide non-coding RNA is filed under the name Gloeochaete wittrockiana. Lineage: Eukaryota; Glaucocystophyceae; Gloeochaetales; Gloeochaetaceae. The record is from RNAcentral.
AAAAUUAAGAAAGAAGAACGAGGAGCUUGUAAGAACUAGGAAAUCUCACAUUUGAAUGGCAUCUUCUUCUGAGUUCUUUUUGUGGUUCAAUGUUAUUUCCUUCAUAUGCCUUCUUUUGUUUGUGUGCGAAUGGUUUCCAGAAAUUGGGGGAUG